Molecule: ribosomal RNA, 565 nt
Filed under: Streptococcus infantis
Lineage: Bacteria; Bacillati; Bacillota; Bacilli; Lactobacillales; Streptococcaceae
Description: partial 23S ribosomal RNA
Rfam family: Bacterial large subunit ribosomal RNA
Source: RNAcentral
GCCUAGGCUCUCAGAGGCGAUGAAGGACGUGAUAAGCUGCGAAAAGCUCCGUUUAGGUGCAAAUAACCUUUGAUGCGGAGAUCUCCGAAUGGGAUAACCCAAUAUGUUGAAGACAUAUUAUACCGUAAGGUAGGCAAACGCAGGGAACUGAAACAUCUAAGUACCUGCAGGAGAAGAAAACAAACGUGAUUCCCCCAGUAGCGGCGAGCGACCGGGGAUAAGCCCAAACCGUUAUUGUUUCGGCAGUAGCGGGGUAGUAGGACUGCGACAUUGAUGAAAUAAAUGAAAUGGAACACCUUGGAAAAUGUGAUCACAGAGGGUGAUAAUCCCGUACAUGCAAGUUUAUGAAUCAUAGCAGACUCCUGAGUAAGUCGGGACACGUGUAAUCCUGACCGAAUCCGCCGGGACCAUCCGGCAAGGCUAAAUACUCCUGAGAGACCGAUAGUGAACCAGUACCGUGAGGGAAAGGUGAAAAGCACUUCGAACAGAAGAGUGAAAUAGUCCCUGAACCCAUACGCCUACAAGCUGUCGGAGCCGCUUCGUGCGGUGACGGCGUGCCUUUUGC